CAAAAAUAUUGUCAGUCUGUAAAUUAAAAUUACAGAACUAUAGAGCAACUAUGGGUCCAGACUUUGGACCUAAACGUGGCUGGGGCAACUGUUUUCC
Molecule: long non-coding RNA, 97 nt
Organism: Sander lucioperca (pikeperch)
Lineage: Eukaryota; Metazoa; Chordata; Actinopteri; Perciformes; Percidae
Exons: 3
Source: RefSeq, a predicted model, not a curated record